RNAcentral lists this transfer RNA (70 nucleotides) under Pangasianodon hypophthalmus (striped catfish). RNAcentral's name for it is "tRNA-Glu". The record is from RNAcentral. Lineage: Eukaryota; Metazoa; Chordata; Actinopteri; Siluriformes; Pangasiidae.
UCUUUAGGGCUAGUGGUUAGGCCUUGGUGCCCUCACCGCUGGAGCCUCGGUUCGAUUCCCAGCCAGGGAA